ACGCCUUAUACAUGCAAGUCGAACGAAGUAGCAAUACUUAGUGGCAGACGGGUGAGUAACAUGUGGGUAUCUUCCCUUUGGUGAGGAAUAACACGAGGAAACUUGUGCUAAUACCUCAUAAGUCUUUACGGAGAAAGCUUUAUGCGCCAAUGGAUGAGCCCGCACUUGAUUAGUUUGUUGGUGGGGUAACGGCCUACCAAGACUUUGAUCAAUAGCUGAUCUGAGAGGAUGAUCAGCCACAUUGGGACUGAGACACGGCCCAAACUCCUACGGGAGGCAGCAGUAGGGAAUAUUGCACAAUGGAGGAAACUCUGAUGCAGCGAUGCCGCGUGAGUGAAGAAGGCCUUUGGGUUGUAAAGCUCUUUCGUCGGGGAAGAAAAUGACGGUACCCGAAUAAGAAGGUCCGGCUAACUUCGUGCCAGCAGCCGCGGUAAUACGAAGGGACCUAGCGUAGUUCGGAAUUACUGGGCUUAAAGAGUUCGUAGGUGGUUAAAAAAGUUGGUUGUGAAAUCCCGAAGCUUAACUUCGGAACUGCAAUCAAAACUUUUUAGCUAGAGUAUGAUAGAGGAAAGCAGAAUUUCUAGUGUAGAGGUGAAAUUCGUAGAUAUUAGAAAGAAUACCAAUUGCGAAGGCAGCUUUCUGGAUCAUUACUGACGCUGAGGAACGAAAGCAUGGGUAGCGAAGAGGAUUAGAUACCCUCGUAGUCCAUGCCGUAAACGAUGUGUGUUAGACGUUGGAAAUUUAUUUUCAGUGUCGCAGCGAAAGCAGUAAACACACCGCCUGGGG
Molecule: ribosomal RNA, 786 nt
Filed under: uncultured Pelagibacteraceae bacterium
Lineage: Bacteria; Pseudomonadati; Pseudomonadota; Alphaproteobacteria; Candidatus Pelagibacterales; Candidatus Pelagibacteraceae
Description: bacterial SSU rRNA
Rfam family: Bacterial small subunit ribosomal RNA
Source: RNAcentral